RNAcentral lists this ribosomal RNA (322 nucleotides) under Sandonidae sp. Its description in RNAcentral is "SSU rRNA". The stretch from base 112 to 322 matches the Rfam family "Eukaryotic small subunit ribosomal RNA", at positions 744 to 955 of the family's 1831-position model. Lineage: Eukaryota; Cercozoa; Glissomonadida; Sandonidae. The record is from RNAcentral.
GAUUUCUGACCUGAAACAUUUUGCCGGCCACGGUUUCGUGUGUUAGUGCUUGAUGUUCUGGUCAUCCUUCCAAUCGCUACUGACUAUUCUUCAUUGAUUGGUUAGUGGUAUUGGAUCUUUUACUUUGAGAAAAUUAGAGUGUUUCAAGCAGGCUUUAUGCUAUGAAUACAUUAGCAUGGAAUAAUAAUUUAGGACUUCGGUUCUAUUUUGUUGGUUUCUAGGACUGAAGUAAUGAUUGAUAGGGAUAGUUGGGGGUGCUAGUAUUCAGCGGCCAGAGGUGAAAUUCUCGGAUUCGCUGAAGACUAACUUAUGCGAAAGCAUU